GUUUCCGUUUAGGUAAAAUGGAUAGAAUAAUAGUACUUACCUCAAAGGAUUGUUGAAGAGAAUCAACAAGAUGAUAUCCCUGAAGCACUGGGAAUAGUGUCUGGCACACAGCACUGAGCACACCGCGGCGCUAGAGAAGACCAGGAAAAAGGACCUGAGCCAGCUUGCCGUCUUAACAAAAAUUUCAAACUUUGCAAAGCGGUAUACCUUCUUAUUCUCCAGUUCAGUAUUGCCAGUGAAGUCAUACUGAACGCAGACAAGGAAAAGAAAGAAAAAGAAACUCAAUGAGAUAUGUUGUCAUCUUCCCUGUUUUAUGGAUGAAGUUCUAAGUAGAGGUUCGGAGAAGAUGUUCAGCCUCAGAACGUAGCCACCUUGCUGUGAGAAAGCCCAACCAUCUUGUACAGCGAGACCACAUGGAGAGGCGCAUGUGGAAAGGAACGGAGGCUACAAGCCGAUAGCCAGCAUCGACUGCCAGGCACGGAGAGUGAGUCUUCAGAUGAAUCCAGCCUCAGCCUAGAGUCUUUUGUCUCAGGCCCCAGACACUGUGGAGCAGGGACAAGCCAUCCCCACUGUGUCCCACCCGCAUUCCUGAUCCACAGAAUCUAUGAGCACAAUAAAUAGUUGCUUUAUG
This 631-nucleotide long non-coding RNA is filed under the name Homo sapiens (human). Its description in RNAcentral is "HSALNT0351607". Lineage: Eukaryota; Metazoa; Chordata; Mammalia; Primates; Hominidae. The record is from RNAcentral.